AUACGUAGGGUGCAAGCGUUAAUCGGAAUUACUGGGCGUAAAGCGUGCGCAGGCGGUUUUGUAAGACAGUGGUGAAAUCCCCGGGCUCAACCUGGGAACUGCCAUUGUGACUGCAAGGCUGGAGUGCGGCAGAGGGGGAUGGAAUUCCGCGGGGAGCAGGGAAAUGCGUAGAUAUGCGGAGGAACACCGAUGGCGAAGGCAAUCCCCUGGGCCUGCACUGACGCUCAUGCACGAAAGCGUGGGGAGCAAACAGGAUUAGAUACCCUGGUAGUCCACGCCCUAAACGAUGUCAACUGGUUGUUGGGGAUUUAUUUUCUCAGUAACGAAGCUAACGCGUGAAGUUGACCGCCUGGGGAGUACGGCCGCAAGGUUAAAACUCAAAGGAAUUGACGGGG
RNAcentral lists this ribosomal RNA (395 nucleotides) under uncultured bacterium. RNAcentral describes it as "partial 16S ribosomal RNA". It matches the Rfam family "Bacterial small subunit ribosomal RNA", at positions 523 to 918 of the family's 1533-position model. The record is from RNAcentral.